RNAcentral lists this ribosomal RNA (403 nucleotides) under uncultured bacterium. Its description in RNAcentral is "partial 16S ribosomal RNA". It matches the Rfam family "Bacterial small subunit ribosomal RNA", at positions 338 to 755 of the family's 1533-position model. The record is from RNAcentral.
CCUACGGGGGGCAGCAGUGGGGAAUAUUGGGCAAUGGGCGCAAGCCUGACCCAGCAACGCCGCGUGAAGGAAGAAGGCUUUCGGGUUGUAAACUUCUUUUCUCAGGGACGAAGCAAGUGACGGUACCUGAGGAAUAAGCCACGGCUAACUACGGGCCAGCAGCCGCGGUAAUACGUAGGUGGCAAGCGUUAUCCGGAUUUACUGGGUGUAAAGGGCGGGUAGGCGGGGACGCAAGUCAGAUGUGAAAACCACGGGCUCCACCUGUGGCCUGCUUUUGAAACUGUGUUUCUUGAGUACUGGAGAGGCAGCCGGAAUUCCUAGUGUAGCGGUGAAAUGCGUAGAUAUUAGGAGGAACCCCAGUGGCGAAGGCGGUCUGCUGGACAGCAACUGACGCUGAGGCGCG